CCGAGUUAGGGUGUGCCCUCCGGGUACCCCGACCUCCCAACCCUUUGUCUAUGUUACCUCAGUUGCUUCGGUGGGCCGGAAGCUGACCAACUGGUCGCGACCGCCGGUCUUCGGGCUGGAGAGCUGCCCACCGAUGGCCCAACAAACUUCUUUAUACCAAAACCUGUCGUCUGAAUUAUUGUGAUUGUAUAAUCAAAAAACA
This 202-nucleotide unclassified non-coding RNA is filed under the name uncultured Ascomycota. RNAcentral describes it as "sequence contains ITS1". The record is from RNAcentral. Lineage: Eukaryota; Fungi; Ascomycota.